This 427-nucleotide ribosomal RNA is filed under the name uncultured bacterium. RNAcentral describes it as "partial 16S ribosomal RNA". It matches the Rfam family "Bacterial small subunit ribosomal RNA", at positions 355 to 774 of the family's 1533-position model. The record is from RNAcentral.
UGGGGAAUAUUGCACAAUGGGCGCAAGCCUGAUGCAGCCAUGCCGCGUGUAUGAAGAAGGCCUUCGGGUUGUAAAGUACUUUCAGCGGGGAGGAAGGCGAUAAGGUUAAUAACCUUGUCGAUUGACGUUACCCGCAGAAGAAGCACCGGCUAACUCCGUGCCAGCAGCCGCGGUAAUACGGAGGGUGCAAGCGUUAAUCGGAAUUACUGGGCGUAAAGCGCACGCAGGCGGUCUGUCAAGUCGGAUGUGAAAUCCCCGGGCUCAACCUGGGAACUGCAUUCGAAACUGGCAGGCUAGAGUCUUGUAGAGGGGGGUAGAAUUCCAGGUGUAGCGGUGAAAUGCGUAGAGAUCUGGAGGAAUACCGGUGGCGAAGGCAGCCCCCUGGACAAAGACUGACGCUCAGGUGCGAAAGCGUGGGGAGCAAACA